CCGCAGCCACAGCCACUGCCACCCCCAGCCCCUGCACACACGCGAGUCGCAAGAAGAAGAAUUCAUAAUUACAGUAGCGUAGCCAUGAAACCAGCAGUGCUGGGGGUGAGGGAGGUGGGGGGAAAAGCGAAGCCUCGGCCAAAAUUGCGCGGGAGGGACACAUCCCACCCCCUGCCUCCCCGAGCAUCCUCCGCGGGAUUACGCGCCUGGCCGCGCUCCGCACCGGCUGCAGGACGGAGGGACCACGGCGGGGCUGCCGCAGAGGCUCCGCGCACAGAGCCUCACCUCUGGAACCCUUGGGAACGCUGACAGCAGCUCGGGGUCCCUGGGACGCCUCUUUGCACCCGCCGAGGGGUUCUGCAGGUAUUUUGGGACAUCCCUCCCUGGGCUCGCAUCCCGGCCGGUGCGGAUGCCGCCAGGAGCCCGUCGGGUGGUGCCAAUAAAGCUCUUUCCUUGCGGGUUCCUGCA
Hirundo rustica (Barn swallow) is the source of this 468-nucleotide long non-coding RNA. RefSeq lists it as uncharacterized. The record is from RefSeq and is a predicted model, not a curated record. Lineage: Eukaryota; Metazoa; Chordata; Aves; Passeriformes; Hirundinidae. The transcript has 3 exons.